UCAAGUUAUUAAGGGUGCAGGGCGAAUGCCUUGGCACUAGGAGCCGAUGAAGGACGUGAUAAGCUGCGAUAAGCUUCGGGGAGUUGCACGUAAACUUUGAUCCGAAGAUUUCCGAAUGAGGAAACUCACUUAGAGUAAUGUCUAAGUAUCGUAUGAUGAAUACAUAGUCAUGCGAGGGGAACCCGGAGAACUGAAACAUCUAAGUACCCGGAGGAAGAGAAAGAAAUUCGAUUCCGUAAGUAGCGGCGAGCGAACGCGGAACAGGCCAAACCAGUGAAGUUUUCUUCGCUGGGGUUGCGGACAUAUCAUAACGAAGAGGUAUCGUAGAAGAAGAGAGUUGGAAAGCUCCGCCACAGAUGGUAACAGCCCAGUAUUUUAAACGAGAAGACUUUAGAUAUGAUCCAGAGUACCACGGGACACGUGAAACCCUGUGGGAAGCAGGAGGGACCAUCCUCCAAGCCUAAAUACUACCUAGUGACCGAUAGCGUAUAGUACCGUGAGGGAAAGGUGAAAAGAACCCCGGGAGGGGAGUGAAAGAGAACCUGAAACCCUGCACUUACAAGCUGUAGGAGCACAUUAUUUGUGUGACUGCGUACUUUUUGUAGAACGGGCCAACGAGUUACGUUGUGUAGCAAGGUUAAGCACUUAAGGUGUGGAGCCGUAGCGAAAGCGAGUCUUAAAUGGGCGUCCAGUUACCCGACGUAGACCCGAAACCAGGCGACCUAUCCAUGAGCAGGUUGAAGCGAAAGUAAAAUUUCGUGGAGGACCGAACCCACGAGCGUUGAAAAGCUCGGGGAUGACUUGUGGAUAGCGGUGAAAUUCCAAUCGAGCCCGGAGAUAGCUGGUUCUCCCCGAAAUAGCUUUAGGGCUAGCCUCAAGCGUAGAGAAACGGAGGUAGAGCACUGAAUGUCCUAGGGGGUAUUGCACUUACCGAAGACUAUCAAACUCCGAAUGCCGUAUUCUUUUGCUUGGGAGUCAGACUAUGGGUGAUAAGAUUCAUAGUCAAGAGGGCAACAGCCCAGAUCGUCAGCUAAGGUCCCUAAAUGUAAGUUAAGUGGUAAAGGAUGUGGAAUUGCACAGACAACCAGGAUGUUGGCUUAGAAGCAGCCACUCAUUUAAAGAGUGCGUAAUAGCUCACUGGUCGAGUGAUUCUGCGCCGAAAAUUUCCGGGGCUAAAACUUACUACCGAAGCUACGGCAUCAUUAUGAUGGGUAGGGGAGCUUUCUAUGCGGCUUGAAGCAUGACCGUAAGGACAUGUGGACUGCAUAGAAGUGAGAAUGUUGGCAUGAGUAGCGAGAUGUGGGUGAGAAUCCCACAGGCCGUAAACCCAAGGUUUCCAGGGGAAGGUUCGUCCGCCCUGGGUUAGUCAGGACCUAAGCCGAGGCCGAAAGGCGUAGGUGAUGGACAACAGGUUGAUAUUCCUGUACCACCAAUAACCGUUUGAGAAAUGGGAUGACACAGUAGGAUAAGCUAACCGCACUGUUGGUUAUGUGCGGGCAAGUAUUGAGGCAGUUCCGAUAGGCAAAUCCGUCGGAAUAAUGCUGGGGUACGAUGCGGAGCGAAAUUUAGUAGCGAAGUAGCUGAUUUCACACUGUCGAGAAAAGUCUCUAUCGAGGUUAAAGGUGCCUGUACCGCAAACCGACACAGGUGGGUGAGGAGAGUAUCCUAAGGCCAGCGAGAGAACUGUUGUUAAGGAACUCGGCAAAAUGACCCCGUAACUUAGGGAGAAGGGGUGCCUUCGAAAGAAGGCCGCAGAGAAUAGGCCCAAGCGACUGUUUACCAAAAACAUAGGUUUCUGCUAAGUCGCAAGACGAUGUAUAGGAGCUGACGCCUGCCCGGUGCUGGAAGGUUAAGGGGAUCUGUUAGAGCAAUCGAAGCAGUGAACUUAAGCCCCAGUAAACGGCGGCCGUAACUAUAACGGUCCUAAGGUAGCGAAAUUCCUUGUCGGGUAAGUUCC
Molecule: ribosomal RNA, 1957 nt
Filed under: human gut metagenome
Description: bacterial LSU rRNA
Rfam family: Bacterial large subunit ribosomal RNA
Source: RNAcentral